Non-coding RNA from Capnocytophaga canimorsus, 299 nucleotides. It matches the Rfam family "Bacterial RNase P class A". Rfam says of the family: Ribonuclease P (RNase P) is a ubiquitous endoribonuclease, found in archaea, bacteria and eukarya as well as chloroplasts and mitochondria. Its best characterised activity is the generation of mature 5'-ends of tRNAs by cleaving the 5'-leader elements of precursor-tRNAs. The record is from Rfam. NCBI's taxonomy places the organism in Bacteria, Pseudomonadati, Bacteroidota, Flavobacteriia, Flavobacteriales, Flavobacteriaceae.
AGAGCAAAUCGGCUUAUCGCUAUUUAUAGAGGAAAGUCCGGACACCAUAGAGCAGCAUAGCGGGUAACGCCCGUCCGUCGUAAGGCGAGGACCAGUGCAACAGAAAGGAUGUACAAUACGGUUGUAGUGAAAUCAGGUAAACUCUAUGCGGUGCAACGCUAUGUAAACCAGCACUUGAGGGCGGCUCGUUCGAUGUUGGAGGGUAGGCGGUUUGAGUUUACAAGUAAUUGUAAAUCAAGAUAAAUGAUAAGCGUCUUUACAAAAAGAUUACAGAAUCCGGCUUAUGAUUUGCUUUUUAA